Molecule: long non-coding RNA, 217 nt
Filed under: Mytilus galloprovincialis (Mediterranean mussel)
Lineage: Eukaryota; Metazoa; Mollusca; Bivalvia; Mytilida; Mytilidae
Source: RNAcentral
ACGGAAAGGGUCAAAAGUAAAAAGAGCAGCAUAAGCUAUAUUUAAUAGCUUAUGCUGCUUUGUAGCAUAAGCUAUAUUCGACGUACCGAAAGGGUCAAUAUCUAUUUGUCUGGUUAUGCUGCAUUUUAAUCGCAUAUGCUAUAUUACAAAUACUGACUAUGCUAUAUUUUCAAAUUGUAGCAUAUGCUGUACUAUUUCAAACACAUCAAUAAAGGGU